Molecule: small nucleolar RNA, 133 nt
Organism: Onychomys torridus (southern grasshopper mouse)
Lineage: Eukaryota; Metazoa; Chordata; Mammalia; Rodentia; Cricetidae
Product: small nucleolar RNA SNORA64/SNORA10 family
Exons: 1
Source: RefSeq, a predicted model, not a curated record
CCUCCUUCAGCUCUCCUGAAUCACAUAGGCCCAGUGUGUACUUGGUAUGUUUUAAUGGAGAACGGAGAAGGUCCUCCUCAUGCAUGGCAGACCUGCCCAAAGGAGCUUCUCUGCUUCUAGGAGUCUGGCAGCU